UACGGGGGGUGCAAGCGUUGUUCGGAUUUACUGGGCGUAAAGGGCUCGUAGGCGGCCAACUAAGUCGGAUGUGAAAUCCCCAGGCUUAACUUGGGAACUGCAUCCGAUACUGGAUGGCUUGAAUCCGGGAGAGGGAUGCAGAAUUCCAGGUGUAGCGGUGAAAUGCGUAGAUAUCUGGAGGAAUACCGGUGGCGAAGGCGGCAUCCUGGACCGGCAUUGACGCUAAGGCGCGAAAGCGUGGGGAGCGAACAGG
This 253-nucleotide ribosomal RNA is filed under the name uncultured bacterium. RNAcentral describes it as "partial 16S ribosomal RNA". It matches the Rfam family "Bacterial small subunit ribosomal RNA", at positions 524 to 776 of the family's 1533-position model. The record is from RNAcentral.